RNAcentral lists this ribosomal RNA (134 nucleotides) under Citrobacter freundii. RNAcentral's name for it is "partial 16S ribosomal RNA". It matches the Rfam family "Bacterial small subunit ribosomal RNA", at positions 1 to 130 of the family's 1533-position model. The record is from RNAcentral. RNAcentral also lists the same sequence under 9 other names. Lineage: Bacteria; Pseudomonadati; Pseudomonadota; Gammaproteobacteria; Enterobacterales; Enterobacteriaceae.
AAAUUGAAGAGUUUGAUCAUGGCUCAGAUUGAACGCUGGCGGCAGGCCUAACACAUGCAAGUCGAACGGUAGCACAGAGAGCUUGCUCUCGGGUGACGAGUGGCGGACGGGUGAGUAAUGUCUGGGAAACUGCC